This 1395-nucleotide long non-coding RNA is filed under the name Nicotiana tabacum (common tobacco). RNAcentral describes it as "long non-coding RNA (NTAB_LNC018561)". Lineage: Eukaryota; Viridiplantae; Streptophyta; Magnoliopsida; Solanales; Solanaceae. The record is from RNAcentral.
UCUUUUCUUCCAUGAGGCAUAUUUUUAAAAUCAACUUGAACUUGGAGAGAGUCACAUCCUGUGAUAUCUUCUACUUCUUUUUUAAUGUUCAGAGCUGAAUCCUCAACUGACUUCAUGCAGCCCGUCAAUCUGAUCAACUUCAGUGUUUGGAUAUCUGCGAAGCUAGACGGGAUCUCUUGAAGCUUCUCACAACGACGUAUAACCAGUUUCUCUAGCACGGGGAAGGAUGCCUCUGAGGAGCGCCAUUCGGUCAUAUAAACAACUUUUAAGUUCAAAUAUUUGAGUGCUGGGAACUUGUAAUCACCUACAUCCCAACAUUUGAUAUCUUCAUCCUUGAAGUGUAUUCUACGUAGUUUGAGUCUCUCAAGAUUUUGCAGUCUUGCAAUAUUUGAAACAACUUUUUCUGUUAGGACAAUUCUAUGAAUGGACAAAUCCUUUAGAUUUGAGGGGAAAACAAUACAGCUGCCCCUUCCGAUUCUUACUUGAGGCACGUCUUCUGAGAAGCCCACUUCGAGAGAUUGAAGUGGGAGUUCUCCAAGAUUCAGUUGUAAAAUAGGUAAAAUCGGUUCAACAAUGUGGAGCUUGAGUUGUUCAAUAUUUGGAAAUCUCCACCAGAACUCCGGAGUCAUAUCAGCCAAAUAUAUACAGCAUUUCCCGAAAGACUUCAAGUUCGGUAACACAGUUUGUGAAGAUUCUUCGAAAAUUGCUCGAUCAUUCUCUUCCCAUUUGAAUUCAAUUUCCUUGAUAUCCACAUGCCUUAGCUUCUGCAUUUUCCAAAGACCAGCAGGGGAUAUCUUACGUCCUAAUGACUUAGGCCGCCACCCCACCCGCAAAGUUUGUAGAUCGAGUAAGUGUGAUACCCACCGGAAAUCAAAUUUUUCGGUCCAUAUUGCAAGAUACCUCAAGUGAGUUACUGCUUGCAUUGCCCUAGCCCAAUAACCUACAUCCAAGUAGACCUUCGACAAAUCCAACACCCGAAUAAGUCUAAUGCAAUCAAGUAAAAGGACAUGAUUUGUCAAACUCAGGUCCCAUUUACAGAGUUUUGGAUGAGCAAUGAACUCAAGAGAUCCUACUUCACUCAACUCCGCCAACGUUGGAAUUUUAUUCAAUGAAUAUUCAUGCUCCAUCAACUGCUUGGCCAGAUCGUCAUGAACAUACAUACAUAAUCGAGGUUCCUUUGCACCUAAAGAUUGGUGUGGAUUAUAUGGGAUUAUGACCUGCAUAUACUUUUCUUUUGCAAGUUUUCUCAAGCAAAACUCACGCACUACAUCAUGAAGAGUGCAGUACUUUAUCUCACCAUUGUCUCUCCUUUUAGAAACCAUUACAAGGCUUUUGCUCGCUAGAUCAUUCAAGAAAUUUGUAUAUGCUUCCUCCAAGUUAUCUGUGUCCGAAUUC